AAAUUGAAGAGUUUGAUCAUGGCUCAGAUUGAACGCUGGCGGCAGGCCUAACACAUGCAAGUCGAGCGGCAGCGGGAAAGUAGCUUGCUACUUUUGCCGGCGAGCGGCGGACGGGUGAGUAAUGCCUGGGGAUCUGCCCAGUCGAGGGGGAUAACAGUUGGAAACGACUGCUAAUACCGCAUACGCCCUACGGGGGAAAGGAGGGGACCUUCGGGCCUUUCGCGAUUGGAUGAACCCAGGUGGGAUUAGCUAGUUG
RNAcentral lists this ribosomal RNA (256 nucleotides) under Aeromonas salmonicida subsp. salmonicida. Its description in RNAcentral is "partial 16S ribosomal RNA". It matches the Rfam family "Bacterial small subunit ribosomal RNA", at positions 1 to 251 of the family's 1533-position model. RNAcentral also lists the same sequence under 1 other name. The record is from RNAcentral. Lineage: Bacteria; Pseudomonadati; Pseudomonadota; Gammaproteobacteria; Aeromonadales; Aeromonadaceae.